CCUACGGGAGGCAGCAGUAGGGAAUCUUCCACAAUGGGCGAAAGCCUGAUGGAGCAACGCCGCGUGGGUGAAGAAGGUCUUCGGAUCGUAAAAACCUGUCGUUAGAGAAGAAAGUGCGUGAGAGUAACGGUUCACGUUUUGACGGUAUCUAAACAGAAAGCCACGGCUAACUACGUGCCAGCAGCCGCGGUAAUACGUAGGUGGCAAGCGUUAAGCGGAUUUAUUGGGCGUAAAGGGAACGCAGGCGGUCUAUUAAGUCUGAUGUGAAAGCCCUGGGCUUAACCGGGGAAGUGCAUUGGAAACUGGGAGGCUUGAGUGCGGAAGAGGGGAGUAGAACUCCAUGUGUAGCGGUGAAAUGCGUAGAUAUGUGGAAGAACACUAGUGGCGAAGGCGGCUCCCUGGACUGUAACUGACGCUGAGGUUCGAAAGCGUGGGUAGCAAACAGGAUUAGAUACCCCAGUAGUC
RNAcentral lists this ribosomal RNA (465 nucleotides) under uncultured bacterium. Its description in RNAcentral is "partial 16S ribosomal RNA". It matches the Rfam family "Bacterial small subunit ribosomal RNA", at positions 338 to 795 of the family's 1533-position model. The record is from RNAcentral.